This 500-nucleotide ribosomal RNA is filed under the name uncultured Glomeromycotina. RNAcentral describes it as "partial small subunit ribosomal RNA". It matches the Rfam family "Eukaryotic small subunit ribosomal RNA", at positions 591 to 1092 of the family's 1831-position model. Lineage: Eukaryota; Fungi; Glomeromycota. The record is from RNAcentral.
CCAAUAGCGUAUAUUUAAGUUGUUGCAGUUAAAAAGCUCGUAGUUGAAUUUCGGGGUUAGUAGGCUGGUCGUGCCACCGGUACGUACUGGUCUUACUGAUUCCUCCUUCCUGAUGAACUGUAAUGCCAUUAAUUUGGUGUUGCAGGGAAUCUGGACUGUUACUUUGAAAAAAUUAGAGUGUUUAAAGCAGGCUAACGCUUGAAUACAUUAGCAUGGAAUAAUGAAAUAGGACGUUCGAUCCUAUUUUGUUGGUUUCUAGGAUUGACGUAAUGAUUAAUAGGGAUAGUUGGGGGCAUUAGUAUUCAAUUGUCAGAGGUGAAAUUCUUGGAUUUAUUGAAGACUAACUACUGCGAAAGCAUUUGCCAAGGAUGUUUUCAUUAAUCAAGAACGAAAGUUAGGGGAUCGAAGACGAUCAGAUACCGUCGUAGUCUUAACCAUAAACUAUGCCGACUAGGGAUCGGAUGAUGUUAAUUUUUUAAUGACUCAUUCGGCGCCUUACG